GACGAACGCUGGCGGCGUGCUUAACACAUGCAAGUCGAACGGAAAGGCCCUGCUUUUGUGGGGUGCUCGAGUGGCGAACGGGUGAGUAACACGUGAGUAACCUGCCCUUGACUUUGGGAUAACUUCAGGAAACUGGGGCUAAUACCGGAUAGGAGCUCCUGCUGCAUGGUGGGGGUUGGAAAGUUUCGGCGGUUGGGGAUGGACUCGCGGCUUAUCAGCUUGUUGGUGGGGUAGUGGCUUACCAAGGCUUUGACGGGUAGCCGGCCUGAGAGGGUGACCGGCCACAUUGGGACUGAGAUACGGCGCAGACGCCUACGGGGGGCAGCAGUGGGGAAUAUUGCACAAUGGGCGGAAGCCUGAUGCAGCAACGCCGCGUGCGGGAUGACGGCCUUCGGGUUGUAAACCGCUUUCGCCUGUGACGAAGCGUGAGUGACGGUAAUGGGUAAAGAAGCACCGGCUAACUACGUG
Molecule: ribosomal RNA, 468 nt
Filed under: uncultured bacterium
Lineage: Bacteria
Description: partial 16S ribosomal RNA
Rfam family: Bacterial small subunit ribosomal RNA
Source: RNAcentral